Molecule: ribosomal RNA, 656 nt
Filed under: uncultured soil bacterium
Lineage: Bacteria
Description: bacterial SSU rRNA
Rfam family: Bacterial small subunit ribosomal RNA
Source: RNAcentral
GCUGGCGGCGUGCUUAACACAUGCAAGUCAAGCGACGCUCCUCCUUCGGGAGGAUGACGGAGCGGCGAACGGGUGAGUAACACGUGGGCAACCUGCCCCUAGCUCUGGGAUAAGCCCGGGAAACCGGGUCUAAUACCGGAUAUGAAGCCUGAAGGCAUCUUCGGACUUGGAAAGUUCUUCGGCUAGGGAUGGGCCCGCGGCCUAUCAGCUUGUUGGUGGGGUAAUGGCCCACCAAGGCGACGACGGGUAGCCGGCCUGAGAGGGCGACCGGCCACACUGGGACUGAGACACGGCCCAGACUCCUACGGGAGGCAGCAGUGGGGAAUAUUGCACAAUGGGCGAAAGCCUGAUGCAGCGACGCCGCGUGAGGGAUGACUGCCUUCGGGUUGUAAACCUCUUUCAGCUCCGACGAAGCGCAAGUGACGGUAGGAGCAGAAGAAGCACCGGCCAACUACGUGCCAGCAGCCGCGGUAAUACGUAGGGUGCAAGCGUUGUCCGGAAUUAUUGGGCGUAAAGAGCUCGUAGGCGGUCUGUCACGUCGGCUGUGAAAACCUGGGGCUCAACUCCGGGCCUGCAGCCGAUACGGGCAGACUAGAGUUCGGCAGGGGAGACUGGAAUUCCUGGUGUAGCGGUGAAAUGCGCAGAUAUCAGGAGGA